ACACUGCAGCACGAGCUUAUUGAAGCUGACCACGGGUCAAUCAUGGUGCUUGUGAUUAUAUUUUAAUGAAUUUGAACCCUUAGCCCGACGAAGACGCUAGGGCUUAAACGGAGAGAGUAUGUGAGGAUCCAUGCAAGUGUAUAUUUAUUCCCACAUCAGCUAUGUACAUGGUAGAUCUUGGAUAGUUACAUAGGAUCAAGAAACCUAAAUAAUACCUUCCGACUAGCUUCUUUGAAUGAAAUCCUAGGUUGCGACAAGCAUACUUCAAAAUAUAGUACAACACGAACCUCAAGAAAAGAGGCGUGAACGAGGACAUAAAUGAAAACUCAGACAUAUCAUAGACUCAUCGAACAACAUAUAACACCAGACAAAAGCAUGCCUAGGUUUUCUAACAAAGCGUCAGUGAUAGCAGAAACUCUGGAACACGAAGAAAGGCAAUAAAAAUUGUACAACAUACAAAAGGAUGGAGAUUUUACCAGUGAAUUCAAGAGAUAAUAGGAGAUGCUCGCAUAGAAAAACAUGGUUUGAUUAAUGUCUUGGAGAUCAACCAUCUUCAGUAAAAGUGACUUGCAGAGAUAAAAAAAAACCUGCCAAGAAUGAAAAGGCAGCAUGUGAGUUGAAGCCUGAACAUCCUUCUGUCUUAGCUGGGUGAAUAUCAUCACAGGGAACCGAAGGCAUGGUAGAAAGGGUGAUGAGAGGCCAAAACCAAUUCCACAUCCCCCCAGAUUCAAUGAGCUAAAGUAGCACUCGUAAAAAAAAAACUUAUCCUCUGUCAGGGUAUGUGGCAACACUUCUUUUAUGGCUAAAAGGAACUUUACAAAUUGUUUUGAUUCUUCAACUCUGAGGUAGUACAUGAGUUAGGGGCUAGGAUUUUUAAGUCUGCCAUGCAGUCCAUUCAAAUUCAGUUUAUCUCUUGCAAUAAGGACAGAGCCUUAAAUCAGUCUCAAAAUUUCCUCAUUUUUCUUUUUCUGGAUAGAUGUAUAGGCCUAAAUAUGAUGUAAUUGGAAACUGCAUCAGGUCAAUGUUUUAUCUUCUAGUUUGAUUGGGAUAAACCGGCACCUUUAGGUUAUAAUAGGUGUGAUCUAAGUGAUGAUGCCUUUUGUUACUUCUGAAGAAGUUGUUGUCAGUGAAAGAAACUAGUUCUCAUUCCCUGUUCAACAAAUAUAAACAAAAUAAUUAAGCCACUAAUGCAAUUUGCAGUAUACAAGAUUGAUUUCUUUACCCUCUUAUCUAUUUUGCAUUAUAAAGCAAAUAAUUUAGUUCAAGUUUUCUCCAUAGUAGGAAGGCUUUAAAAAUAAAUUAGAGAGGAAAAAACGCUUUGAUGCAUAGUUACUAGAAUAGGAAAUGAAUGAAGGAAACUAGGAAGGCAAGAAAAUAAAAGCAGAUUCUUGGAAAGAGUAAAACCUUCUGACACAGGAAAAACCAACCUUGAAGAAGUAUUCUUCAAAAAAUUAUAAAAUAACAUUUGUUUUUUUUUUUUUAAUUUUGCUUUCUCAGCUUCCUUACUAUAAUGUGACCAUCUUUUUCGCUUAUCCAAUUAACAAUCUCCAAGAGAUGCCCCAUUUAAAAUUUAGAUUCCAUCAAUAUGUAAGAUACUAAACAUGUCAUAAUCCUUCAAUUAGAAAACUCAUCAAGAACUGCAGGAAUCACAUAUUUUCUCGUAUUUUUUCUACUCCAAUGAAACAGGUUUCCAGUUCAUUAUUUUGCUUUCCCAGAUGAGUUCUUUAAAAGCCCUAAUAGAGUGUGAAUUGAGAUUCCUGCUAGGCUGCAACAAUGCUUUUCUUUUCUUUUCUUUUCCCUUCUUUUUCAAAGGAAACUCCUGCUACUCUCUUCUGGUGAUAAUUCUCAAUCCAAUAAUUGAAAUUGAAAUUGAAAUCUUUUAAAGUUCAGGGGACAAGGUAGUCUAAAAUAAAAGCUGAAAGAAAAAGAGUUCUCGAGAAUCCUCACCUUGGAUGUACCUAGAAAGAUUUCGGAAGACAUGCCAUCAUUCCUCCGUCCCCCACCCACCGCCCCUCCCUUUUCCUUUCCCUUUCCCUUUCUUUUAC
RNAcentral lists this long non-coding RNA (2045 nucleotides) under Phoenix dactylifera (date palm). Its description in RNAcentral is "long non-coding RNA (PDAC_LNC008302)". Lineage: Eukaryota; Viridiplantae; Streptophyta; Magnoliopsida; Arecales; Arecaceae. The record is from RNAcentral.